This 652-nucleotide ribosomal RNA is filed under the name uncultured bacterium. RNAcentral's name for it is "bacterial SSU rRNA". It matches the Rfam family "Bacterial small subunit ribosomal RNA", at positions 84 to 732 of the family's 1533-position model. The record is from RNAcentral.
UCUGGUGGCGAGUGGCGAACGGGUGAGUAAUAUAUCGGAACGUGUCCAAUAAUGGGGGAUAACUAGUCGAAAGAUUAGCUAAUACCGCAUACGCCCUGAGGGGGAAAGUGGGGGAUCUUCGGACCUCACGUUAAUGGAGCGGCCGAUAUCUGAUUAGCUAGUUGGUAGGGUAAAAGCCUACCAAGGCGACGAUCAGUAGCUGGUCUGAGAGGAUGAUCAGCCACACUGGGACUGAGACACGGCCCAGACUCCUACGGGAGGCAGCAGUGGGGAAUUUUGGACAAUGGGCGCAAGCCUGAUCCAGCCAUGCCGCGUGAGUGAAGAAGGCCUUCGGGUUGUAAAGCUCUUUCGCAAGGAAAGAGAACUUACAUGUAAAUAAUGUGUGAGGUUGACGGUACCUUGAUAAGAAGCACCGGCUAACUACGUGCCAGCAGCCGCGGUAAUACGUAGGGUGCAAGCGUUAAUCGGAAUUACUGGGCGUAAAGCGAGCGCAGGCGGUUUUGUAAGUCAGAUGUGAAAGCCCCGGGCUCAACCUGGGAACUGCGUUUGAAACUACAAGGCUAGAGUAUGGGAGAGGGGGGUAGAAUUCCACGUGUAGCAGUGAAAUGCGUAGAGAUGUGGAGGAAUACCAAUGGCGAAGGCAGCCCCCUGG